RNAcentral lists this long non-coding RNA (653 nucleotides) under Marmota monax (woodchuck). Lineage: Eukaryota; Metazoa; Chordata; Mammalia; Rodentia; Sciuridae. The record is from RNAcentral.
AAAAAACCCACCCUGAGUGAAACCCAACUGUUCCAUGCGUCACGUGAGAAACUGAUGUUUCUAGAGGAAAUCCACACACCCAUGCUGGACUCGCCAGGAGCUUUCUACCCAGAUCGCAGAUGGGCCAACACUGCCAGAUGCUGCGGCCAUACUUCCCUGGUACAAUCACUCGUCUACACUCUCUUCUCAAACCUUUACUCUCAGCCAGUAACCUUAACCAAUGUAAUGGGAUUAAGUAAGGACUGCUUCAUCUUCCCAUUGGUCAGCUACCAUCCCAUCCCUGCGUCUGUGCCCACCACGUCAUGUGCGUUUCCCUCCCUGAUGGACAGUGCUCCUGCUGCUCCCAUGAAGCCCAUCCCCUGGUGUCUCUAAUCAGGUCCACACUACCUUAAGAGCCUGUCGCUGGAGUUACUGCUCUCUCUCUCUAGUUUCAUCCUUCACUGAAUUAUGCAUAACAAUAUACAAACGUGUAUUAUUAUUAAUCUUUAAAAAUAAACCCUUGGCCCUACAUGCCUUUCAUAUUUUUCAUUUCUCUCCCUCAGUUCACAUAUGCUGCAAUCUAUUGUUUACACUUCCUUUCUCAUUGUCUCACCAUUUUUUUUUAAAUUUCACAAAUCCAUUCCAAGGGCACUGUUUGUAUCCAUCAAUCUGCC